AGCGAACGCUGGCGGCAGGCUUAACACAUGCAAGUCGAACGGUCCUUCGGGAUAGUGGCGGACGGGUGAGUAACACGUGGGAACGUACCCUUAGGUUCGGAACAACACAGGGAAACUUGUGCUAAUACCGGAUAGGCCCUUCGGGGGAAAGAUUUAUCGCCUUUGGAGCGGCCCGCGUCUGAUUAGCUUGUUGGUGAGGUAAUGGCGCACCAAGGCUACGAGCAGUAGCUGGUCGGAGAGGAUGGCCAGCCACACUGGGACUGAGACACGGCCCAGACUCCUACGGGAGGCAGCAGUGGGGAAUCUUGCGCAAUGGGCGAAAGCCUGACGCAGCCAUGCCGCGUGGAUGAUGAAGGUCUUAGGAUUGUAAAAUCCUUUCACCGGGGACGAUAAUGACGGUACCCGGAGAAGAAGCCCCGGCUAACUUCGUGCCAGCAGCCGCGGUAA
This 447-nucleotide ribosomal RNA is filed under the name uncultured bacterium. RNAcentral describes it as "partial 16S ribosomal RNA". It matches the Rfam family "Bacterial small subunit ribosomal RNA", at positions 29 to 523 of the family's 1533-position model. The record is from RNAcentral.